RNAcentral lists this ribosomal RNA (253 nucleotides) under uncultured bacterium. RNAcentral describes it as "partial 16S ribosomal RNA". It matches the Rfam family "Bacterial small subunit ribosomal RNA", at positions 524 to 776 of the family's 1533-position model. The record is from RNAcentral.
UACGAAGGGUGCAAGCGUUAUUCGGAAUCAUUGGGCGUAAAGCGCGCGCAGGCGGCGGUGCUGGCCCGGCGUGAAAGCCCCCGGCUCAACCGGGGAGGGUCGUCGGGGACCGCACCGCUUGAGGGCGGUAGGGGCUGGUGGAAUGCCUGGUGUAGUGGUGAAAUGCGUAGAGAUCAGGCGGAACACCCGUGGCGAAGGCGGCCAGCUGGGCCGUCCCUGACGCUGAGGCGCGAAGGCGUGGGGAGCGAACGGG